AACAAGUCGUGCUUGCCUGGAGGACCUGAUCUGGGAUUCUCUGAGGAUUCCCACAUCAUACAAACAUUGUGCUUCUUUAGGCUGUAUGAAUGGGCUCUUGCUUAAGCAACUGUAUAAACACAGAAUGAGGCACAAUCUCCAGACAAGCAAUGGGAUUACUGCAUCAAACAAAAGGAUAACAGGGGUGGGGGCAUGAUCACUGCUGUAUUGGCGCCCACACAGCUGGGCUUCUCCGUAGCACCAGGUUGAAGGGGCGUGCUUACCGGAGUGUUGUGGAUGGCAGCCGGGCUCCUCUGUGGCACCAGGUCGAAC
RNAcentral lists this long non-coding RNA (312 nucleotides) under Fukomys damarensis (Damara mole-rat). Its description in RNAcentral is "lncRNA (ENSFDAG00000030335.1)". Lineage: Eukaryota; Metazoa; Chordata; Mammalia; Rodentia; Bathyergidae. The record is from RNAcentral.